Molecule: ribosomal RNA, 368 nt
Filed under: Burkholderia sp. 47R
Lineage: Bacteria; Pseudomonadati; Pseudomonadota; Betaproteobacteria; Burkholderiales; Burkholderiaceae
Description: bacterial SSU rRNA
Rfam family: Bacterial small subunit ribosomal RNA
Source: RNAcentral
GCCUUACCUACCCUUGACAUGUACGGAAGUCCGCUGAGAGGUGGAUGUGCCCGAAAGGGAGCCGUAACACAGGUGCUGCAUGGCUGUCGUCAGCUCGUGUCGUGAGAUGUUGGGUUAAGUCCCGCAACGAGCGCAACCCUUGUCCCUAGUUGCUACGCAAGAGCACUCCAGGGAGACUGCCGGUGACAAACCGGAGGAAGGUGGGGAUGACGUCAAGUCCUCAUGGCCCUUAUGGGUAGGGCUUCACACGUCAUACAAUGGUCGGAACAGAGGGUUGCCAAGCCGCGAGGUGGAGCCAAUCCCAGAAACCGAUCGUAGUCCGGAUCGCAGUCUGCAACUCGACUGCGUGAAGCUGGAAUCGCUAGUAA